RNAcentral lists this long non-coding RNA (518 nucleotides) under Homo sapiens (human). RNAcentral's name for it is "HSALNT0305967". The record is from RNAcentral. Lineage: Eukaryota; Metazoa; Chordata; Mammalia; Primates; Hominidae.
AGGCUGAGGCAGGAGAAUGGCAUGAACCCAGGAGGCGGAGCUUGCAGUGAGCUGAGAUCAUGCCACUGCACUCCAGCCUGGGCGACAGAGCGAGACUCCAUCUCAAAAAAAAAAAAUUAUUCCUCCCUGGCUCUCUGAGAUUCUGGUUCAAUAGAUCUGGGAUCUGGCUGGGAACCUUCCUUUAAACCCCUCUUGCCCCCCGGCCUCCAACACACAUUCUGAUGUCAAUUAUUCUGCAACCACCCUUUAUGAUUACUCUCCACAAUAUGGACCAUCUAGCUCUGUGCCCUUCACAUACACACACACACGGUCUGCAGCAGAUUCUCACCAAAGGAACUGGUAUCAUUAUUCUUUCCUCUGGUUCCUCAGUUGGUUCUGUAAGUCCAGCACAUCUCAAAGGCUGAGAUGCUGUUUCUAACAAACCUCCCGAUGCUGCUGAUGCUGCAUAUCUGAAGACCACACUUUGAGAAGCAAGGAUCUAGGAGUUGUUUGUUAUUCAUGGAAUAAAUAUAUUUCCC